Long non-coding RNA from Osmerus eperlanus (European smelt), 1413 nucleotides. RefSeq lists it as uncharacterized. The record is from RefSeq and is a predicted model, not a curated record. The transcript has 2 exons. Lineage: Eukaryota; Metazoa; Chordata; Actinopteri; Osmeriformes; Osmeridae.
CACGCCCCCAGUAACCCAGUACGAUUUCCUGCAAAUUCCAAAGUCAGAUCCCGGCUGGAACAUUUCAGCCCGCCUGCCACGUCAGUUUGCCUUCACCAUCCUCCCUCUCUCUCUCCCUCUCUCCCUCCCUCUCUCUCUCUCUACUUCUCCUUCGCCCCCUUUCUCUCCUUCACAGCGACGAGGACUGCUGGAGGCUUUGACCGUAGUCAAGGUUUUAGGUUAAAAGGUUUGUCUCUGACCAGCGGUGUUCUCGUCACAACCCAGGGUUUUUAGCCGUCCUGGUGGAGAGUGUCGUGGCCUGGGGACCAGGUCUUCGCUGGAUCUCGGGGCACUGACCUGCAGGCAGAACGACCUCGAGGCCCUUCCUCCCCGCGGCCCCCCCUCACCCCCCCGCCUGCCCAGUGUUCAGACUACCUGUUCAUCAGGCUGCAGCUGAACAGUAGUCUGCACAUUGGUUAGGCUGGGCCGGGACACACACACACACAAGCCAGGAGGACCUCUGAGCGUGGUCUCGGGUCGACAUCGACGGAGCGAGCGGGGUCCCCAGGAAGCAGCCUGGUGUGACAGCCUGGUGUGACAGCCUGGUGUGACAGCCUGGUGUGACAGCCUGGUGUGACAGCCUGGUGUGACUGCCUGGUGUGACUGCCUGGUGUGACUGCCUGGUGUGACUGCCUGGUGUGACUGCCUGGUGUGACUGCCUGGUGUGACUGCCUGGUGUGACUGCCUGGUGUGACUGCCUGGUGUGACUGCCUGGUGUGACUGCCUGGUGUGACUGCCUGGUGUGACUGCCUGGUGUGACUGCCUGGUGUGACAGCCUGGCUCCCAGCAGCAUCAGAGCUGUCCCCCCCCCCCCCCCCCCCACCCUUGUUUGAGUGUGCCUGCAUGCCGGAAGGGGAGUCUCUCACCUCCUCGUCUUUGUACCAGGAGAGGGACUCUGCCGUCAGGACGAACCAGUACUCUUUGGACCCGCCCUUCAUGAUGCUGAUGUUGAGGGUGAGCCAGCCUUUGCGGAUCACCUGGGAGAUGAAGAAGGGGUGGGGGGGGGGGGUGUCAGGAGGUUGGAGUGAGAAACAGGUUUGUCGUUCAGACUGAUUGAAUUAGUGAUGUGAGGCGUCAGUGAGCAGUUCAGCUGCUCACGAGGCCGUGCUGUGUGGCAUCUAAACCCUGUCCUGACGAAAUAAAAGCUGCAACUGAUUACGGAGUGACUUUUUUUUCUUCCUCGUUUUCCUCCAGUCCUAACAGUCCGUUGACCUCGCCUACUCCCUUCCUACUCCUGGUGAAACGAAACUAUUCUCGGAGACUCCGCUCGCCUCAACACUUUCAAUUACCCUUACUUACCCUGUAAUUAUUCGUUACUUACUCUGUGAUUAUGAUGUGUGUUCCCUGUGCAUACAGUAUACAAAAGCAUAAUUU